This 357-nucleotide ribosomal RNA is filed under the name Escherichia coli. Its description in RNAcentral is "partial 23S ribosomal RNA". It matches the Rfam family "Bacterial large subunit ribosomal RNA", at positions 1552 to 1890 of the family's 2925-position model. The record is from RNAcentral. Lineage: Bacteria; Pseudomonadati; Pseudomonadota; Gammaproteobacteria; Enterobacterales; Enterobacteriaceae.
AAGGCUGAGGCGUGAUGACGAGGCACUACGGUGCUGAAGCAACAAAUGCCCUGCUUCCAGGAAAAGCCUCUAAGCAUCAGGUAACAUCAAAUCGUACCCCAAACCGACACAGGUGGUCAGGUAGAGAAUACCAAGGCGCUUGAGAGAACUCGGGUGAAGGAACUAGGCAAAAUGGUGCCGUAACUUCGGGAGAAGGCACGCUGAUAUGUAGGUGAAGUCCCUCGCGGAUGGAGCUGAAAUCAGUCGAAGAUACCAGCUGGCUGCAACUGUUUAUUAAAAACACAGCACUGUGCAAACACGAAAGUGGACGUAUACGGUGUGACGCCUGCCCGGUGCCGGAAGGUUAAUUGAUGGGGU